This 497-nucleotide ribosomal RNA is filed under the name uncultured bacterium. RNAcentral describes it as "partial 16S ribosomal RNA". It matches the Rfam family "Bacterial small subunit ribosomal RNA", at positions 28 to 507 of the family's 1533-position model. The record is from RNAcentral.
GGCGAACGCUGGCGGCGUGCCUAAUACAUGCAAGUAGAACGCUGAAGAGAGGAGCUUGCUCUUCUUGGAUGAGUUGCGAACGGGUGAGUAACGCGUAGGUAACCUGCCUUGUAGCGGGGGAUAACUAUUGGAAACGAUAGCUAAUACCGCAUAACAAUGGAUGACACAUGUCAUUUAUUUGAAAGGGGCAAUUGCUCCACUACAAGAUGGACCUGCGUUGUAUUAGCUAGUAGGUGAGGUAACGGCUCACCUAGGCGACGAUACAUAGCCGACCUGAGAGGGUGAUCGGCCACACUGGGACUGAGACACGGCCCAGACUCCUACGGGAGGCAGCAGUAGGGAAUCUUCGGCAAUGGGGGCAACCCUGACCGAGCAACGCCGCGUGAGUGAAGAAGGUUUUCGGAUCGUAAAGCUCUGUUGUAAGUCAAGAACGAGUGUGAGAGUGGAAAGUUCACACUGUGACGGUAGCUUACCAGAAAGGGACGGCUAACUACGUG